Molecule: long non-coding RNA, 4508 nt
Filed under: Canis lupus familiaris (dog)
Lineage: Eukaryota; Metazoa; Chordata; Mammalia; Carnivora; Canidae
Description: lncRNA (ENSCAFG00000055377.1, ENSCAFG00805018371.1)
Source: RNAcentral
AAAAGAAUAAAAUAAUUAGGAAUAAACUUACUCAAGGAAGUGAAAGACCUGUACUCCAAAAACUAUAAAACCUUAAUGAAAGAAAUUGAAGAUGAAACAAACAAAUGGGAAAAUGUUGUAUGUUUGCACACUGUGAAAACCAGUAUUUUCACAAUGUCUAUACUAUCCAAAGCAAUCUACAGAUUAAAUGCAAUCCCUGUCAAAAUACCAGCAGCAUUUGUCACAGAACUAGAACAAAUAGUCAUAAAAUUUGUAUGGACUCUCAAAAGAGUUUAAAUAGCCAAAGAAAUCUUAUAAAAGAAAAACAAAACUGGAGAAAUCACAAUACCAAAUUUCAAGAUGUACUACAAAGUUUUAGUAAUGAAACCAAUAUUGUGCUGGGGCGCCAGGGUGGUUCAGUUGGUUAAGUAUCUGCCUUUGAUGAGUCAAAGGUCAUGAUCUCAGGGUCCUGGGAUCAAGCCCCACCUUGGGCUUCCUGCUCAGCAGGGAGUCUGCUUCUCCCUCUGCCUCUGCCCCUCCCACAGCUUGCAUUCACACUCUCUCCUUCUCACUGUCUCACAUAAAUAAAUAAAAUAUUUCAAAAAAGAAAGAAAACAUAAAAUAGAUGCAUAGAUCAAUGUAACAUAAUCCAAAAUCCAGAAAUAAACCCAUGAGUAUAUGGCCAAUUAAUCUGCAACAAAGGAGGCAAGAUGUACAGUAGGAAAGGAAAAUCUCUUCAACAAAUGAUGUUGGGAAAAAUGAACAGCUCUAUGCAAAGUAAUGAAAUUGUACCAAUUUUUUAUGCCAUACACAAAAAGAAACUCAAAAUGGAUUAAAGACCUAAAUGUGAGACCUGAAACCAUUAAUUUCCUAGAAGAAAACAAUAGACUACUGGCAAUCUCUUUGACAUGAACCAUAUAAACAUUUUUCUAUACAUGUCUCCUCUGGCAUGGUAAACAAAAGCAAAAUUAAAGUGCUUGGUCUAUACAAAAAUGAAAAGCUUUUGCAUGACAAAAGGCAACCUUAAAUGUAAUAAGAUAUCUGCAAAUAAUUUAUCUGAUAAGGGGUUUAUGUCCAAGAUAUAUAAAGAAUUUAUAGUACUCAAUGCAAAAAAAUCAAGCAAAUUAAAAAAUGGGCAGAGGACAUGAAUAGAUUUUUUCUUUCAAAAAGGACAUAUAGAUGACCAACAUACAAAUAGAAAGAUGCUCAACAUCACUAAUCAUCAUAAAUCAAAAAUAAUUAUAUAUUACCUCACACCUGUCAAAAUAAGUAAAAUUUAAAAAGUCAAGAAUAACAAGUGUUGAUGAGAAUGUGGAUAAAAGAAAUCCUUGUGCACUGUUGGGAAUUAAAGCAGAUGCAGCCACUCUGGAAAAUAGUAUGAAAGUUCCUCAAAAAAUUAAAAAUAGGAUUGCCACAUGAUCCAAUAAUUCUACUACUGUGUAUUUACCCCCAACAAAUGAAAACACUUAUUUGAAAAAGAAAUUUACACUCCUAUGUUUAUUGCAGCAUUAUUUACACUAGCUAGGAUAUGGAAGCAACCCAAGUGUCCAUCCACUGAUGAAUGGACAAAGAAAAUUGGUAUGUAUAUAUGCAAUAGAAUAUUACUCAUCCAUAAAAAGAACAAAAUGUUGCCAUUUGCAACAAGGUGGAUGGAUCUUGUGGGUAUAAUGCUAAGGGAAAUAGGUCAGAAAAAAGACCGAUACCAAACAAUUUUACUCAUAUGUAGAAUUUAAGAAACAAAACAAAGGAAAAAAAGACAAACAAAAAUGAAUCUUAAAUAUAGAGAACAAAGUGGUAGUUGCCAGAUGGCAGGAUGGUGGGUGUGGGUAAAAUAGGUGAAUGGUACUAAGAAAGCACUUAUGGUGAUGAGCAUUGAAUAAUGUAUAGAAUUGUUGAAUCAUUAUAUUGUAUACCUGAAACUAAUAUAACACUAUAUGUUAAUUAUACUUGAAUAAAAAAUGUGAGUUAACUUAAUUUGUGGCCAUCAUCCUACCAAAGUGUUUCCAACCCUCAGGUGAAUUACAACCUAGAAAUAUAAUGACCAUUAUUUGGAACAUUCCAAUUAGAUAAGAUCACUAAGAAGUGCAGUUAAAAACAAGGAUCCCCAAACUAAACAGAAUGGAAUACCUGUUUUAAUUGGUAAGCAGAAGCCUCCAAAAGUUUUCAAAAUUUCAAAGUAGUUUCAUUACAUGAUUCAUUACAAAAAGCUAAUGAAAAAUUAAGGAUGUAAGAAGCACCUAAGCCAAAAGACUCUAAGAAUGACAAAACUCCUACUGUUCCCCUCUAUCCUUUGAGUACUCAUCCACUGAUCCUCUAAUUUUUCUUCACCAUAAAAUGGCUGCACACUGUAAACAAAAAACUAUCAAGUUACUUGCCUUAUAGAUGUUUCCAUGUCUACUUUCAAAAGAGGGCCCCCAUAUGGGCAAUUCCAAUGGUUGUCAAAACUGAGGGAUUUUCUGGUUAAGUGCUAUGUUAUCUUCUUAAACACCCAAGGGGAAACUGAAAAGUACCAGAGCCUGCAAAGAGGAUUUUAGAAAAAUUGGCAGAAGACAGCAAACUGGUGUAAAUUCUUAACAGAAUCCGUUCUACCAAAUCUCUGUAGCACUGUAGCAUCUAGCUGAGAGAGGAAAAUACAAUUUCACAUUGUCCCUUCCUUUUCAAAUACAAACCCAUGUAUUAUUGAUCCUCUCCCAGAGAUAGUUAUUUUCUUGCUUGUCUCAUUUGUGCAAUGUGGCUUUCUGCCUGCCUAGAAUAUGCAGGUUGUUAAUUCUUUCAUUUGGCUAUCAUUGAGAGUGACUCCAGGUUUGAGGGAGGUAAUAUCUUCUGUACCCUCUUUGAGAACACCUCUUACACCAAAGAGUGGUUAUUCAAUACUGCCAGAAAUAUUUAAAAUUAGAACUAGGUAGCCAGAGGGUAAAAAGUAAAUUGUGGAUAAUAUAGCUGAAUUGUUGGAUCAAUCUAUGAUGCCAUUUAAGUUACAACCCAAUUCAUUGAGGAGAUGUAUGCAACUCUCUUUAUCUUCCAAAUCUUUACAGAACCAGAGAUGCAGCUCUAAUGAUAAUUCAAAGUUCACUCAUUCUUUUAUGAAUCCCUUAACUUCCUCUAUUUUUUCUUAAAUGGCUUGUUAGUAAUUGGCUUCAAGAAUCCAAAAUCUUUCUUGGAAAGACUUGCAUUCAUUGUGUCCAUUAAAUUUAUAUGUUACUUUGUCUUUGAAAUGUAAACACAAUGUAAACACAACCCACAAUCACAACCACAAUCACUUGAAACUAAAGGGGGAAAAAAGGGAAAGAGUCCUUUUUAAAAUGCAAACUGCUAAAAGGGCUCUUUUGCCCAAAUCUAACAAUUAGUCUCCUAAGACAAAUUCCAGGGACAAAUACAAAUCUUAAAAAUCUUUAAAAAUAUUACAAAAUAUAAGGUCUUUACCUCUGUCUUUUUGUGUGUGUAUAUGUAUAUUUACUAUAUAUAUAUAUAUAUAUGGAAAAUAUAUAUAUAUAUAAUAUAUAUAUGGUAAAUGUGAGGUAAUUUUUUUUUUACCUCUGGAUGAUACUGCUAAAAUUAAUUUGUCAAAGAAUUCUAUUUAGUUGGUUUAAAGGCAAGCACUUAUAAAGAUUGGGCACUCUAAAACUCUUAGAUAAAAGUUAACUCAAUUUUUUUCAAGUUCAGGUACUAAGGGGAAAUUUUUAUUGGUUUAUUUAAAAUAGACAUGUCUUUAGAGCUAUCUAAAGCUAGCUUUAGAGCAUUAAAAUUAAAACUUUUAUUAUGCCUGGGUAUACUUUAGUAAGGUAAGUCAGGUAAGUUGAUGUAAUCUCUGCUACAAAAUGAUUUUUUUAAAAAUCUGGCUCAGAAAAAUGACUGAGUUUGGUGUCUCAUGAAGAUUUUUUGGGGGUAAUUUAAGCGUACUUGUUUAAAACAAGCAAAUUAAAUAGGUGUAAAUAUUUUUUAGAUAGCCUCCCAAAUAUUUUUGAUAACCUGAAAUCUUAAAAUUUUGCUGAGCUAGGUUAAAUGACAAAUCAAGUUAAAUUCAUUAAAUAUCUAGAUCAUUUCCCAAUAAGAUAAAAUAAUGAAGCAAUAACUACUGAACAUAGAUUUAUCUACUUUUGGCUUUUUUAUUACUGAUAAACUCAAGGUAAAUUUGGGUCUCUUAGUAAAUCAAUUUUGUGCUUUAUUAAAAGAUGUACUUUGAAAAAGUGCAUUUCUCAAAGUUAUAAAAUGUAUUCAUCAUUUUCCACACUAAGGAAUACUGGUGCAACAGACAGUUCACAAUUGCUUAAGUAUUAGCUUUCACUAUAAAUUAAAGUUCCUAAGAGUUAAGAAAUUCUAAUAAGGGAAACAACUUUCUAUAAAAAGAAAGUAAGGUCAGCCCUGUUGGCCCAGCGGUUUAGCGCUGCCUUCAGCGGGGUGUGAUCCUGGAGACCCGGGAUCGAGUCCCGCAUUGGGCUCCCUGGAAGGAGCCUGCUUCUCCCUCUGCCUGUGUAUCUGCCUCUCUCUCUCUCUCUCUCUCUCUCUCUCUCUCUGUCAUGAAUAAAUAA